Molecule: ribosomal RNA, 265 nt
Filed under: Escherichia coli
Lineage: Bacteria; Pseudomonadati; Pseudomonadota; Gammaproteobacteria; Enterobacterales; Enterobacteriaceae
Also listed under: 1 other name
Description: partial 16S ribosomal RNA
Rfam family: Bacterial small subunit ribosomal RNA
Source: RNAcentral
AAAUUGAAGAGUUUGAUCAUGGCUCAGAUUGAACGCUGGCGGCAGGCCUAACACAUGCAAGUCGAACGGUAACAGGAAGCAGCUUGCUGUUUCGCUGACGAGUGGCGGACGGGUGAGUAAUGUCUGGGAAACUGCCUGAUGGAGGGGGAUAACUACUGGAAACGGUAGCUAAUACCGCAUAACGUCGCAAGACCAAAGAGGGGGACCUUCGGGCCUCUUGCCAUCGGAUGUGCCCAGAUGGGAUUAGCUUGUUGGUGGGGUAACG